This 164-nucleotide ribosomal RNA is filed under the name uncultured bacterium. RNAcentral's name for it is "partial 16S rRNA". It matches the Rfam family "Bacterial small subunit ribosomal RNA", at positions 355 to 511 of the family's 1533-position model. The record is from RNAcentral.
UAGGGAAUCUUCCACAAUGGGCGCAAGCCUGAUGGAGCAACACCGCGUGAGUGAAGAAGGGUUUCGGCUCGUAAAGCUCUGUUGUUAGAGAAGAACACGAGUGAGAGUAACUGUUCAUUCGAUGACGGUAUCUAACCAGCAAGUCACGGCUAACUACGUGCCAU